Molecule: ribosomal RNA, 179 nt
Filed under: Campylobacter ureolyticus
Lineage: Bacteria; Pseudomonadati; Campylobacterota; Epsilonproteobacteria; Campylobacterales; Campylobacteraceae
Description: partial 23S ribosomal RNA
Rfam family: Bacterial large subunit ribosomal RNA
Source: RNAcentral
GGCACCGCUUAGUAGCUAAGUUGGGAUGUGAUAAGAGCUGAAAGCAUCUAAGCUCGAAGCCAACUCCAAGAUUAAUCUUCUUUUAAGAGCUCUUAUAGACUAUAAGUUUGAUAGGCUGGGUGUGUAAGUGAUGUAAGUCAUUUAGCUGACCAGUACUAAUAGCUCGUUUGCUUAUCUUA